Gasterosteus aculeatus aculeatus (three-spined stickleback) is the source of this 28361-nucleotide long non-coding RNA. Lineage: Eukaryota; Metazoa; Chordata; Actinopteri; Perciformes; Gasterosteidae. The record is from Ensembl.
AGUUACUAGUUACUGCGUAUCAUCUGCCUGGAAAUGGAAACCUUUACCGUUUUAUUAAACCACCAAAGGGCAAAAUAUUAGAGAAAAGAUGAGAACCAAGAAAAGGUCCCGGUGGCACAUAACCGACCUUCUUGUGGAUGAACAGUUUGUGUAAAUUAAAAGUAAGAUCUGUGGGGUAAUUCUGAUUUAAACAAGGAGAGAGCAGUCUAAGUGAAACUUAAUGAUUUCCUGCACUGAGGUCUAGAAGCGGAGUCAGGGCCCUAGGAGAGUAAGUAGGAAGCCAUUUACCACUUCUGUCGUCCUUUGCUGUGCUGUGAAGUUUUCUGAAGCCAGAUUGGCGAAAGUCAUACCGGUAUUGGGAUGACAGGUGAUUCACUCGUUGCUGUUGAUCACAUUUGAGGCCAUGUACGGAUUUUUUGGGGAGAUAACCCCGUUUCUCACGGUGCCGCAAUUAAGAGAGCUGUUUAUUAUAUUUACUAGUGGGCUGAGAAUUUGAAGAGGGUCCUUUAAUUAACUCUGAAGGAAUAGGGUUGAGUAAGCAAGUAGUAGCUGCGGAGAAUACUCCCAAUUUCAGAGAGUGAAUGAGGAGAAAUGAUCUACAAGUGGGCAUUGUUGUUUUUCUGAUGUCAUUCUUGGGGAUAAAGCAUUCUGUGAGGUCAGUUACAGCUCACUUAGUGUCAAAUAUAAAUGUUUCAGGCAUCAGGCUGGAGCGCUGAGCUGUUCCGCCAUCCUAAGUGUCUGGCUUAGUUAGAACAGGCAGGCUUGUGACCCACAAAGCACUUUUGAGUUAAUAUUUGUCGGGAUGGAGCUGGCCAAGAUCAGACUGUAUUACGCUGGAUGAGAGCCACAUCUUCAGCUUGCUCAGUUCUCUUCUUUUUUUUAAGUGCUUUCAUCUUGGAGAGGCAGUAUCAAUGUUGUAGUUCUGGCUUUGAAAUAGUCACUUCAUUCUCUGACUUGCUCUCUGUGAUUAAUUCAUUACCGUUUCCAAGGGACUUCUGUUGAUGAAGGAAGAGCUUCUUCUUCUUCUAUAUGAACCCACACGUGGCCUCCACUCAUGCACACUAUUCAGGUCACUAUGUAACCCUCACCUACUUCCUUUAUUCCAAUUUAAACUUGUGAGAGCAUCGCAAACCAAGUGAGUUGGUCAUUUUAUAUACAGUAUAUGUGCAACUUUUUCAAUUUCCACAAACUGUAAUAUUUACUUUUUCUUCACUCCUUUUUUUUUACUCAAUCGUGGCUUUGGAUCUCUCCACUGUGGGGAAGGAGGACAUUGGGAGGAGGACCUACCGAGCGCUGGAGCUGAAGCCUGAGGCACAGCUGCAAUAACGGAGCGGUUGGCCUCGUCUUCAUCACAGCAACAGUCAAGGUUCCUCCUGGGUUCUUUGAUGUGGGCGGCUCUGAAUAAGCAGGUGGGUGGACUAGAAAUAUGUUCAUUAAACAGCAGUGGAAUGACUGCAGCUACCACUUUGAUCUGGAGAGAGAGAGGAAAGAAUAUCUUCUUGAUUGUUACAAAAAUAGUUCAUUUAGAGGAUGAAUUUAGUACCUUUAGUUAUUGCUUGUAUUUAAAUGUCUUGUUAUGUUAAUCAUCUUAAACGUUUUUUAAUUCUGAAUGGUUUUUUUACUGACCCACCUCACAUGAGACAUUGCGUGAGUUACACUCAGGACAACAUUCAGAUUCAGAUUGAUUUAGUGUUGCAUGAGAGGAGCCUUUUGACCCUUUUCUUCAGCUUUCCACCUGGAAGCGAGUAGAAUUUGUCCACAUAUCACAAUGCAGUCAUUGGGUGUCUCGGUAGGUGAGCUGUAAAUGAAUCUCAUGGUUGAAGUAGUAUUCAGCUGCUUCCAUAAACACUCUUACUGAUUGAUAUUUUCCAUAGCGUUACAUAAAUGUUAUAUAAUGUUCUGCCGCGAGAUGAGUGGGCAAGUGGAGCUGCACGGGCAAGAAAGUUUGUAUUAAAGUAUAAUGUGUUGGUUGAAAGAAAAACGUUUCGUGGCGGAGUAAAUCCUUCAGGUCGACUUUCUACCCAGAAGCGUUUCGGUUUGUGACUUUUGAGGCCCGGUAUUCAGUCAUAUCCUCUACAAACCAACCGCCUCACCUUCAAACAGCUACACCAGAAUAUAAAACCAAUGUCCCCAUCGAAACAGCCAGUUACGUUGAAUUCAUUUCAACUGACAGACGCAGAGAGACAUCAACGUGACUCUGACAUGGAAACAGGGAAGGAGACUGAUGAAGGCGGACAGAGAGAAAGGGUACGAGGAGCUGGAGCCGGUGCAUGUGUUGCUGUUUGUUUUAUUUAAAAGGGAGAUCAGGUGGAAAUUAGGCCAUACUCUCCUUCCUGAGACAUUUACAACCCGGCAUGAGCAAGUUCCAAAAAAAUGGAACAGAAAAAAAGAAAAUGAGGCCUGCUGACUUGACAAAAUGCAAAAAAAAGCCCUGUCCCUUUGCCAAAAGUCAGAGAGCAGCAAAACUUUGAUCCAUCACCACCUGAGCGUGGGGAGAUAAUAAGAAGCCUCAUCUGCCCUUUUCCCGUCCUCCACAAUCAUUAACAUAAUUCUGUAUUAAUCAGCUGCCGCCUCCGCUACUCAGCAGCCGAGAUCUAAAAAUGACCCCGAAAACUCUGACUUGGCUUCCUCCUCAGAUGGGAGGAGUUAGAGGGGGGUGGGAGAGGGGGUGAAGAGUUUUGGGGGACGGAGUGGGUGCCGGGGUAUCCCAAGGAUUGUGAUCCCGCGCUUGGUAUAAAAAGGGGAAGCCUUUGAUGUGUGGAUGGAGUCGCGUCCUAAUGGGGGCUCGUGACACGGCGGUCUGCCCCUGCCAGACUGGAGGUGGCAUCGCAGAGCGGCAGCCGAGCGCGCUGAAACACUCCUGCUGUUCUCCGCUUGUUCAGCCAGGUUCUGUCACUGCCAGCCCAGUGCUACACUUUUGGUCUGUGCAGCUACACUUUCAAUUAUUCAUCGGCCCGCAGCACCUUGCAAACAGAGACGGGGACGCACAUCUGCUGCUGUUAGCACUCAACAUCUUUCCGUUGUUGUUUUUUCAACCGAUUCUAUGUUUUACCUUGAAACUAACAAGUUCCGUUUGCAAGCGGGAAAAUACUGGGAAAUCUCUAAAUCCAGGCCGGUGACUCACCACUGCUACGCACUUUCAGUCAAAUACGUGUUCUGCAACUACAAGCACAUCAUGUGUCUUGCAAGUGGUACCAGAUGAAGAACACCUACGCAAUAAGAAGUGAUGGUGUGGUACCUUCAAGGAUUUUUAGGCUUGUUUUAUGGCCCGGAGACCAGGUUUAUGGAAGUAGGCUUAUUGGUUUUAUUGAACAUUUACACAAUGUUCACUCUGGUGAUUCAAAUCAAACAUUUCAGAUAUUCGUAUUUACAGAGUGAGAGGGAUAGAAUUUUAAAGUAUCUUAUGAAUAUCUGAUGAUAGAAAAUGUCCCCAGCCUGAGUCAAUGAUGGAGACAUGCCAGCGCUCGCUUUAGCAAUUGACACAUUUUAGCUAUAUGUGAGGAUGUGUCAGAGGUGCACGGCACGUUGCAAUUUCAUUAUUUCAACUGGUUACAAGAGUGCACAAGCAAUGAUGGUUAUUACAUUUGUCCAUUUUUAAAGACUGAGAAGAAUCUCUACAUAAAUUCAGGCAAUUUGCCUUCCUGCUGUCUCCCAUCUUGAUGUCAGUGUUGUCAAAGGUGCUAUAACAUAAGAUUACGAGCUCAGCUAAUUCUUUUAAAUUCCCCAAUGCGGGAGGAAAUCCUGUUGUAUUUAUUAGAUAUGACUUGCAUCGCUUGAAUCUGAACAUAUGCAGACAAGGCAGUGUAAACUCAAUAUCAAAUGUUAUUAUUAUGAAGGUAUAUUUUAUUACCGUUCUGCCCCUCGCAACCUUCCAUCAUGGAGACCAUAACAAAGCCGGGAUUAAAGCGCCGCUGGCUGCCUCAGCAGACAGAGGAAGAAGACAGCUACUCGCAGGGUUACAGUGAUUAUAUACUCUGUGCAACCUUUUAUUGUUGUUAGACCUCCAAACUAACCAUGGAGAAGGAGCCCUUUCCAUUCAGCUGAAUAUUACUCCUCAUACAGCAAGAUACAGGAGCGUUUUUCAUUGAGAAAGUGUAUCCAAACUUCUGAAUGAUACUGCAUCCGUUUGAUUAGAAUGCUGAAUGAUAUGUGUUUGCAUCAUUGUUAUUUCUCCUAGGGAGGUCAAACCCCCCUGGAAGGGAAACCUGAGUAUCUACUGGCCUCGGUGAAUCGUUGGAAAUGGCCCAACCAGGAUUGCAGGCAGCGGCCUGUGGGCCUAAAAACGUUUUAGGGAUGUUGAAUUUCACCCCCUCUGCCGGGGUCGGAAGCUGAGCUGGAGGUAGACCGGCCAACUAAAUAUCAACUCGACGUAUCUACCUUUCGUGGUGCAUCUGAUCCGUGACAAUUUGUGAUUGUAAAUGCGUCAUAAAAACAAUCAUGUUUUGUAUUCGCAGAUCCAGUGUCAUCUGACAUUGUCAACAACGGAUCUGCGUCGAAACCGCCAGGGGAGCUGGAGACGGGGGCGCUAACGCACGAGGUAGAGUUACGCAAAGGUAAAUCAUUAUACCAAAUGUCAUGGGGCGUUGAUCCUUUUGGUUAGAAACUUGACUAAAUUGAACAUCAAAUUGAUCAUAUAACUGAAUUUUGAAUUCUCCGAGCAAUAUAUAAUACAUUUUAAUCAAUACUAAUAAAACACUUAUUUUCAGUUAAUACUGUGGCGAGCUUGGCCAGAAUGAGACAAGAAUUACUUUCACUUUAUUGAUUGAUUUAAGUGCAUUCAAAGAUUGUCCCAUAAUGCAAUGCGCCUACCAGCGCAGCCUAACGCAAUCUGCCGCUCCGAUCGCUACAUAGCCCCCACCACAAAGUCUCUCCAAGGUCCCGGUAGACGCCGUUGGCGUACAGGCCGUUGUCGGCUUGCAGAAGGCACAUUUGGGGAACCACUUGUACCAGCACAUGGUCUGCAACCGUCACUGCCCUCUCCAGUCGUGGCCGGAUCUAGGGGGUGGUACGGUGAAAGUCUGUCCCGGUGUAGCACCACUGUACGUCCCCGGCUAGGCAUGCGCACCCGGUAUACCACCUCAGACAGGCGUUCCAAAAUCUCGCCAGGCCCCUGCCAGUGGCUGCAAAGCUUAGGGGAGACGUCCUUCUCCCGGACUGGACAAUACACCCAGAUCCGGACCCCGGGUACGAGUGCUUGCCCCCGGCCCCUGGUGUCAUAGGCCCAUUUCUGCCGCACUCCGGAGCUGGCCCGGGCCUGGCGAGUAGAGUCAUGGACCACCUGCAGGCGAUCCCUCAAUCGACGACAGUAGUCCAUCGCUAAACACCAAGUCAACUGGGGUCCGUAGUUCUCGGCCGAACAUGAGGGCAGCAGGUGUGCAUCGGCUGGACUCCUGGACAGCUGUCCGGUAGGACCACAGGACCAAUGGUAGGUGGCGGUCCCAGUCACGCUGGUGUUGGCUGGUGAGGAUAGCAAGUUGGGUGGCUAGCGUGCGGUUGAACCGUUCCACCAAGCCAUCAAUAAUAAAACAAUCACAAAAGCGAUUUCCACGUGACAAUAUGGAUGGACAUAGAUCGCCGAUGGGCAUCGGGGCCGACGAGGGAUCUCUGACACGCACUGUCACUGUCACUGUCGGUUUUAGACGUUGCACUGGUUCUGGGACUCAUCUGCUGGAGAGGUGCCAGACUGUAUUCUUUUCCCAGUUGCUGAUGGUGAGAAGUGUGGGAAGUCCUCCAGUCCCCAGCUCAGCGCUGCUGUGUUGGACGUCUCCCCAGACGAUGGCAGAGUUGUCUCAAUACGAGUCGCUGAGAGGAAUGCUCACACUGUCGCUUGCGCCUACGCACUAAACAAGAAUCAGGGUUAUACGCUAUAUCAUGAAUCCAACCUAAUGAUGGGUUGUGGGAUGCUGAAACAUGAUUUACAAGCAGUUUCUUGCACUCUUCCGAAGGAAAGAACUUAGCGGCAGCAAAAUGUUUCACAUUUGAAUUCAACACCCUCCUGUAAUGGUGAAUCAACCACUUUCAACUUGUGGCUUGGACUGCGAGCUGCUGUUUGCAGUGUUAUUGAGUUUAACGUCUUUAUGUCAUGUGUUGUGUGAUAAAAGCUCCGAAAGAGACAACAAGACAAUGAGCCUAUGAUUUGCUAUUUAGGCUAAAUGAGACUGCUGUAUUCAGCGUAACACACAAGCAUUUUGCAUUUAAACAUAAAUUACGCAUACACACAGAUACACAUUCUUCUAGUGUGCAUGUUCAUCUGCACCUCAAUAUGUUUAUUUUGUUUUAUCUGGGUCUUUGCCAUUGCUUUUGUCUUCUCCGUCUGUGGGAACGCACAAGAAGCUGAACGGCUGUGACAUUGUAUUAGCGCUGUUAAACACAUACGCGUACACAGUCAGCUGGAAGCUGAGAGGCGAUGGUAUAGGUGGAGUGAGAGGUUAUGGAAGACAGGAUCUAGCAGCAGGCUGACGAUUAGCCCCACCGUCACCCCUGUAACACGUACACACACACCUCAUUUAAUCACUCCCACUUCCCCAUCUGUACUGUGAACACCGAAGUAGGUGCCAGCUAUGUGUGUUUGUUAGUGUGUGAAGUUCUGCAUGUACCGUGUUUGAAUGCAUAUGUGUGUGUUGGGGUGGAUUUAUACAUGAGCGUCAGGGAAGUGCAAGAAACUACCGUGCAUGCAGGGGCUCCAGAGUAUCAAGUGUAGCCAGUGAGGAAAUGUCCCUCACGUGAUACCAUAGGUUUAAGCACCUCCCCAUUCCUGGUUCACCAAUUAGUCUGGGUAUAAAGGCUCCCCAAUAGAAUCAAAUUUGUUUAUUAAAACCUUUCUUUUUAUUCUUUGACGACAUUCCCAGAGCUGACGGGAAUUAUUGAAAUUAAUUGUUUCGUACCUUUUUGAUGAUAUUUUAAGAAACUCAAAUAAAUAUUGUACUCUGGGGGAAUAUUGUUGCUUUGGUCUGUUUACACUGGUCAUCUGUGGGUCCGUGGUGGAUUGAUUAAUCUCCCUACGGGACGAUAAGCGCCCCUCCGUACCUACCAGCGGUUACAUAAGGAUUACUUGAUAUUCUUCCCUUUUCUUUUAUCCAGGAGAAAUAGUUCAUUCAAAUGUUUUCUUUAGAAAAGGAGCUUUGUAAUCACAAGAAAACUAUGUUAUUUCAUGUGUUAUUGUGUUUUUUGUCUUGAAUACUAUCUUUGUUAUCUCAUGAUCUUCAGAUUACAUAAUGUUUCUUUUGCCUAAUGAGAUCAUUUAUCCAUCUUGUUUUCUCAACAAUUGGACCACGGAGAUGCAAGUGGUGCCAGUAAUCUUUUAGACAUUACAACUUGUAUACAAAAUCUCAAGAUAGCAUCAUAGCUCACUUGUGAUUUCAAUGGAACGGCACUUGCAUUUUUAAUUGUAACAUCGUACAUCCUAGUUACAGUACGUUUAACAAGACGCACGCUGUCCAAAAAAACUCCUUUCCUUGUGAAAUCUGCCUAAAUAUGGAUUAAGAGCAGUGGCAAAGCCUUCUCUGCUGGCCUGAAUGGAGAGCUCUUAUCCACUUCUGCAUUGAGGUGCAGCACAGCAUUAACGUGUGCUGCAGUUGGUCAGUGGACCAUCCAGAAAGCUAUCUAGCAGAUCGUAUUAUUGUCACGGUGUGGGUUUGUUUCCUGUUUUAUUUUUUAAUUUCCUCCCCUUUGUGUCCCUGGGUAACUUCACUUCCUGCCUUGUCCUGUCAUCCCUGUGAUUGUUUCCACCUGUGUCAAAUCACCUGCACCUCCCCAGUGUAUUUGAGCCCGUGUGUCUUUUGUCCCUUGUCGUGUCAUUGAAUGUAUUCAUGUUACGCCAGCUUGGCAUUCCCUGAAUCUCUUGUGAGUCCCUUGGCAUUUUGAUUUUGACUAUUAGAGUCCUGACUCUGUUCAAAUUAUUAAUUGAAUAAAUUAAUAUCACGCAAAAACUGACAAAAGAAGGCCAUACCGAAUAAUAUAUUAUUUAAAUACUCAAAUAUUCUAAGUUAAAACUUAUCAAAACUCUGCUUUGAGUAAAUGGAAGCAGCUUCACGGGAGCAUCCUCCUUGGUGCCGUCUCUUGGAAGAUGUUUAGGGUUUUCUUUUACAGUUGAAGCAUAAGCAGCAUUACACUAAUAAUAUACCUCACCAGACUGUCAUGUACCUCAACUUAAGACAUUUUUCAUUUCAAUAAUUAACAUUCAAUUAAACAAAACUAGUGAACUUGUAGAACAGUAAAACUACUUUCAAAUUUUCUGCCUGUAUCUCUCUUCCUUAAACUAACGGCAGUAAACAGCUGGACGAGGCUUUGAAAUCACGGAUUUCUAAGUCAUUUGUUUUAUGUUUAGGAAAUUUGCGUUGAAUGUUGUCAGCGGCGCUAAUGACGUGGUUAAUUUAUCACUAAACGUCGGGGGGGAUUCCACGAACACGUCAUUACCUGUGUGAUGCUGCAGCCGUUUGGCGCUCAGCACUCCACUGAGCGGAGGAGGAAGAGGAGGAGGAGGAAGAGCCGCUUGUGAGCGCCGCAGAGCAGUUAGGGGCAUAAUUCUCACAAGAACUCAAAUGCCGGUCAGAUCAAAACACACUUGGGGGGAAUUGAUGACAGUCAUUUUUAUUUUAAAUAUUGAUGAAUAAAGAAAAAAAUAGGCUGCAGCAGAAGGGUCACUUUUGUAAUCCAGCGCAAAGGGGCAGCUGCUUGAGCACCACUAGGGGUCCAUGUGCACGUGCCUCAGUGGAACAACCAAUCAAGACGCUAUUGCCGUGCAACACAACAUAUUCCAGUUGUUAACGGGGUCCAAACAUACUAAAGCACUGACCAAAGUGUCAUAAUAUGCAAAGGUUGUCCACCACAUGUUUGUGUCUCUGUUGGUCAUGCAGAAGCCUCAGAAACCCAGCGGCUGCAAAGCAAUUAUUGCUGCCCAAAGUGACCAUUUGAGGCCUGCAUUUAGUUUCAAGGUUAUAUAUACGUACAUAAAUAAAUUAGGCCAUGGCCAUGUAAACGUGUUUGUUGUGUAACUGAGGAGAGAGAAGCCAAUUGCACAAAUUUGCAAUUAUAAAACUAAAAAUGGAAGGAAGAGAGUUCAGAAAUUCUGACAAAAUUUACCCUUAGUACUCGUCUCCAAGGCUAACUAUGGUAAAUGUAUGGUGCUUUAUUAACCACCCAGACAAAUUUAAAAAACAUUGUCCAGAGAGCAGGUAAGGAGACGGCGAAGGACAGACGGUAAGGUAAGGAGACGGCGAAGGACUCACAGUAAGGUAAGGAAAGGAGACGGCGAAGGACGGUCGGUAGACACCGGGACUUGUACACCACUGCUAGUAGGCUGUAGUGUCGGAGCCGCCAAUUGAGCAACAGAACCCCUUAAGUGCUCAAAUGUAUUGUUUGGAGAUGUGUGAAUCAUCAAUGUUUAUAGCCACGGUUUUAAUAUUUCACCAGUUGCUUCUCUUUUCUUGUGAACGGCGCAGUGCAACACUCUGAAUGCCUCAGGGGAAAUAUCGUCUUAAAGAGUGUGCUGUUAUCCUGAAUUUUGAAUGAUUAUUCCGGUGUCCCUCUCCAGCUUUAAAACACGUGUCUUUAGACACAAUCUGCAGUUGUUUGAGCGUACCAACACCUCAAGGCAGACAGGAGCAUUUGGGCCUUUGUGUACACAAAGUCACACUGAGUGACAGGCAGGGACAGAAUUAUUGUUAUUAGAGAAAAUUUGUAUCAUUUAUUUAUUGUUGCUUCCCUUUGGGAAACGUGUUUUAACUGUAGCUUUUAAUCCGCGUCCCUUCACACUCUCACCAUUGAACCGGAUGCUCCGAGUUGAAUAAAAAAAUAACAAGUCCCUCACCAAUCUUCAAGCUUUUAACCCAUUCUGAAUAUAAAGCUGUUCCGCACUCAUAAAUAAUGCAGUAUGUGUAAAGCAGAUGCAUUACGUCCAGCUCUGUUGUUCAGACACUCUGUUUAAUGAAGAGGCCUUGCUAAGAGCCAUUACCUGAAAGCACAGCCGUCCCCAACGUCUUUUCUCCCCCUGUGAACUAGUUGACCGGAGUAGUUGUGUUGGGAAGGCGGCGACUCGGCCCUCGUUGUGACGGUCUAAUGUCCGUGCUCUGCAAAUUGUGCUGGAAUUGCUCCCCUGGGAAACAUGGAUGUGACAAUGGUCUGUGGAUUAUAAGUACGUGUUCAGAUAGAAUAUUGUGAGUCUGCUUGCCCUUUCCCUUUGAAUAAGGAAUUAAUUAUUCAUCCGCCGAUGGGAAAUAAAGAGUGUGGAGGAGAGGCGGGGAGGGGUUUUUGAACACAAUAGAUUCUGAAAUCUGUUUGGGUGUCAGUGAGGCAAAUGAAGGCAUCAGGAUAAACAGGAGCCGUGGAAACAGACAGAGGAGCAUCUUUAUUCUAAAUGAUAAUGUCCUUGUUUUGCUGAUUCUGGGAACCGAGUCGGCUAUGGAAAUGAAUAAUGCAGGGUGUAGGCAUUCAUGCCAAUGUUCCCACAAACACCUUUCUGUGGCAAUAAUCGCCAUCAGGUUAGUCCCCUGAUAGCGCUGCACCACAUGACACCAGCAGCAGUCAAACACUGUUGUUUUUAUGUUGAAACACAGAGCAGGGCCAUCACUAAAUCUUCUCAGUGUUAAAACACAUCGUUGUUAUUCCCAACUUGUAUCCUAAAUUAUCACAAUUCAAUUUGAAAUUCACCUUUGUUAUCAAGAACCAAUUAAAAUAAUAAUAAUUGCGUUUAGAUGGAAGAGGCAAAGUCUUUGUUUGCCAGAGCGAGAUGUGAGAUAAUUAUAGUUUAUGAAUAUUACCUUGACCCACAUGCAUUGUAAGCGAAAGUCACCGUUUUGAUAAACUGCUCAGUGUUAUAUUUUUAAUGCUACAUAAAAGUGUUGCUGAAAUUUGGGGCAGUGAAUUUGCGGCAGCGCUUUGCACAGACUUGACUUGUUGUGCUCCCUGGGCAACGAUGCACACCGGGACGGGGCAUUUCCUGCUCCGACAGGAAGUGGUGAGUCACCAACAGCGCCACCCUGCAACAGCGUGGACGCCAGCAACCCCGAAUGUAGGAGAGGAGGAGAAGCUGCUUAUGUGGGUGGAAGGGUAUCAGAUGUAAGAUCACUGAGACCAAGGGAGGUGGAGACGAAUGGAGAAGACAAGCCUGAAGAGGAGGAGGCCGUGGUGUGUGUUGUCUUGUGAUGUGUGUGGUAGGUUGCCAGAGAAAAUCGCACAGCGAGAUGCAGCAGAGGACUAUAAAUAAAAAACCCGCUGCCAGCACGCUGGGCAACCUCCAGCCAGGUCGGAGUCGUUUCCAUAGCAGUAAAAGCCAUUUAUCUAAUGUAUUGGCCUAUUACGACCUCUCCUUUAUGUGUUCCCGCUGAGGGAUCCCGUGCAGCCACGCAGCAGGGCCACCGGCACACAAUUGAUUGGGGAGUCGUUCUAUUUCUGUAAGCAGCCCCUCACUCGUGCUUCUAUCUCUUCCUUCAUCCCACCCUUCCCUCCAUCUGUCUCACUCUGCCGCUUCCUCUUCGUCCCCUUCGCCUUUUUUCUGCCUCCGCGCGCUCGCUCUCUAUCGAGGACUGGCCUGCGGGGCGCGUUGUCAGGCUGCUCCGGCAAAGAGGAGAAAAAAAAAGAUCAAUAAUGUCAUUCUGAUUCAAAGCGAUAUAUUUGAAAGACGCGGGGCCGGCGAACCAUUUCUCCGUGGAGUCGUCAGAAGCCCACGUUUUUCUGCGCCGCUAACUUUUUGUCCGUGGUCUCCGCGAUGCCUUUAGAGGCCUCCUGUGGGCUUCGCGCGCGCCCAGCAUUUCUGUGCCGACAGAUUUGGCAGAGUAGCCGCGAGUACAUUCAAGAGAUGUCCGUGUCUGCGAUAAGUACCCUUGAUAUUGGCAUACAAAGGCGCUUCUGCAACAACUCAGGCAGAGGUCUGCCUCAAACUGUCGCUUGAAUCUUUCACAAGGCGGGCCAAGAAUAAAAGAAGAAAUUAUAAAUUCUCAGAAGCCCAAUUUCUUAAGAACAAUUCGAUGGGGAAGGGAAGCAUAAUGCAGAGGUCCAUUAAGCACUCAUGUUUAUUCCAUUUUAAGUCAGCCGGUAUCACUUUCUUAAUGUAAUUAUUGCAGAUAACCAAUUUCUCUUGGCCCUCGGGCUGUACCAAACCACUAAUGCUACUACCGCCUGUAUAAAGAAAAUUGCAUAUCAGCAUGUUUCCUCCAAUCUCAGAGACAGUAAAAUGCAGUCCAGCCGUAUGAGAUGUUUAAAGCCUCGGGUUGCUGUUACGGUUCAAUAUUAACAAGAUGAUUUGAUGAAGUUAGCGCCAACGCAGACAUUUUGUGGUUGGGUAAUUCAGUCCACAUGGCUUGUAGUUGGUUUACCAGAAGUAUGUAAACAGCUGCAAACCUUGUAACAUGCAACGCAGCAAAAAGGGAACUCUUUACUAUUUAUCUUUAUUUUAUAAGCAAUAAAAAGCGCUUACGCGCCCAGACAGCUUUGCCCCCAAGCUCAGUUUUGGGAUGAUUUGUUUUUAUGUACUGGAGGCACAGGUUUUACACAUACCACAUUACGCGUGCAGUUCAAAGAUGUUUUCCUUUUAUUUCUUGAAACUGGCAAACUCUGUUACGAGAUGAUUUGCAGUUGAGAGCUGCAGAUUUUGAAGGAGUAGUUGUAAUGUUCACAGGCCGUAGUUGUAAUGCGUUCGCAGUGGCAUAAAAUGAAUCUGAUAUGAAGUAUGGUGCGUUGCUCUCAUGCAGUCUGCCAGAGUCGGUCGCUGGCAAUUUGUCACACUGCGAGCGGGAAAUCUUUAGAAAGACAGCGGAGGCCAUCUACUUAUGUCCUGUGAUGAAUUGAAAAUUAGAUUGUGGCACAGACUCCAUCCGAGGAAAAUGACCCGUCCACGCUUGGCAAACCGAGCGGGGUCUCCGCUGUGAUUCCGGGGUCCUUCUUGCAGGAGAGGGCCACGGGUUAUUUCCCCAGUUCAAAAGAGAGUAGGAGACGGAUCGAUGGACGAUAAAUGGUAGAAAUCCAUUCUGCCAGCGUGGAGGUGUCAGAAUGGAUGUCAGAAAUCAAGAAAACUGUCCGCAAAUUUGAGGUCGUCUCGUGGGCGGAAUUAUAUUUUUCUGUAAACAUAAAAAAACAUUUGAGAGAAGGAUAUUUAGCCAGGGAGCAGAGGACACAACCAAACCACCCCCAGUGUUUGUCAGGUGUUGUAGUGGGACUGAACCCAAACGCAGAACGUAAACGACGCGGCAGUCGGAAAGUAAAUGGUAAAUGGUAAAUGGCCUGUACUUGUAUAGCGCUUUUCUAGUGUUCUGACCACUCAAAGCGCUUUAACACUACACGACAUCAUUCACCCAUUCACACCCAUUCAUACACUGAUGACAGGAGAACCAUACACAGUGACACCUGCCAUCAGUAACUACCAUUCACACACUGUAGUCGCAGCUACAGGAGCAAUGUUGGGUUAAGUGUCUUGCCCAAGGACACAACGACAUGCGGGUUAGCCGGGCCUGGGAUCGAACCCACAACCCUCUGAUUGGAGGACGACCGUGCUCCCCACUCACCCACAGUCGCCCAGAAAAGCAGGUGCAAGUCGGAUUUAUUCAAUGACACAAGGGUCGGUGAGCGGCAGGAACGGGCGUGAGGACGGUGAGAGUGAAUUCCCAGGUGUACAAUAUCCGGUGAGAAUCCAGCGUGCAGGAACAGACAGGUGCCACUGGAACAGAAGGAGGUGAAACGAGAGGUAAGUAGCGGACGUUGACAGACACAAAACCAAAAAACAACAAACCGUCCGGAGGAGGGAACUCUGACAGUGUUAUGGUUCAUGUUCGACAUCCUAAAGUUUGGAUAUGAGCCCCCCAGAGAUGCCACAGGUGCAGCUAAUGUGGCUAAUUAAGAUGAUUGCUAAUGUGUUAUUGCCUGCUGCAUAGGUGAGCUGACAUAGUGUGAGCCAGGCUAAUCUAAUGAAACCAAUGCAUUAUCAUUAUCGUCAUUAUAUAAAUACGGACGUGGGACAACAACAUGAGGGGAGAAAUUAGUUCAACAGGUCUGCAGCCUUUUGGAUGGAACAGUUGGACUGACGGGGCAGUGAGAUAACAGGCCGUGUAGUGUGAGAGGACAGCGAGCACGCGUCUGGAGAUCACAAACACUCCACUGUUCAGCUUUAGAAACUCAUUUUGAUUGAUAUAAUUCGUUUUGGAUACGAGAAAGCUCACAACUUAUUUUGCCAUCAUACGACUGUCACUUCUUUUUCUGAAGGAUUAGUCUCAUGAAUGUAAAUUAAAAUGUGUACAGAUGAUGACGAUUCUGCACAGAAAGUUAGUCGGGGUUCUCUUUUGUUUUGCCAGGCGAUUAGACUUCUUCUCAGGCUGAAGUUUGGUGGAGCUAUGCUGGAAUUAUUGGUCGACAAACUGCGUGGGAUGAUCAAGGUGUUGACAUUCCACCUGAACAGACGCCACAAAGCUAAUGUGUUGAUUUGAAAGGUUUUGGUCCGUUAGAAAGCCACACACCCGUCUAAGGUUUAAUCAAGCAUGACAAUUAACAUUAUGUGUGGGUGCAGAGGGGCUUUGAGAAAACCAGGUUUCUCAUUGCAGAAAGUCAUGCAUGUCAACAGUGAAUGCCGUUGUGUUCUUGUCAAAAUGCCAAUACAAAUGGCAACAUCAACCUUUUUUGUACAGAAAACAAGAGAUGAAUCUGAAACACAGUGAAUUAUUCACCCUGAGAGGUCGAGAGCAUUUCUUUUUUCUGCCGGCUGCUCGCAGCUAACGGGGCUAUCGCUGCUGUCAGUAUGCUGCAUUCCCUUCAUAUUUGUGACUGCCAAAAUUAGCCUAACUUUUUUUUUUUCCUAUAAUUUUUAAUCAUUAAACUCCCACUUAGAAGGAAGAAAUCAACCAUUUAGAUAUUGAAUAUCGGCCAUCAUACAAAGAAAAUGGAGAAUCAAAUAUGUGCCCAUAUGUUUUCCGGGAGUUUGCACCUGCGGGGGUCGACACCUCACCUGGCAGUCAAUCAGGCUCACAGAUCAAGCUGAGAGUUCACUGGAGCUCCACACGAAGGUGAGUGGAUCCACAGCGGAGGAGCAGUGCUUGAGGCUGUUGACGGGGCCGUGAGACAGGCAGCUAAGAUUUGAGUACGGGCCCCGUGGAGCAUAUUGGAGAACCGGGGGGGGGUACGUGUGCAGGUUGCACGCACGCCAUCGUCUAUCAAUGUCCAGUCUGGAGUCUGGCCUCCGACAAGCCCCGCGGCCCCCAGCUCUCCUCUGCCCAGCUGGACGGCCUCCUCGGCACCCGGUGAAGCCUACAGAGUUAUUUAUUUAUUACACAGUUAAAAUCUAGUCAGAUUAUAAUAGAUAAUAAUUAUGAUGGUAUGUGUCAUUGUUAUUGUUAUGGUACAUGCGUAUUUAUGAUCUGCCAAUAUUAAUGAUACAAUUUCCAUUUAGAUUUUUUGCCUCAAAAUGAGUUUAAAAAAAACCUAUGGGGAAAAUCUCCUCCUGGAUCCGUCUAGAAUGAAGCGUUCAGCAUCACGGCUCGGUGGACGUUUGUGCUGACGGAGGCAUUUAUACGAUGUUUCCAUAUCGCAGCUGCAUCAAUAUAAUAUAUACAGAACUUAAAUCAACCACAUCAUGUUUCAUCAUUAUAGGGAACUGUAAGUAAAGUUAGACGUGUCUUCUGGUUUUCAGUCAAUUAAAUUGCCUUUUAUCUAAAUUCAAUCAUGACUACAUCAAUCAGUAGUCCGUGAAUAUUAGUAAAGAAAUAGCUUUUUUUUGUGUUUUUGUUAUUCCGCCUUGUUUGAUGGAGUCGAGCCGCUGCCUGUGAGUAAUGGAAUUAUUAUCUGUCCCUGUCUUAAUUUUGAUGCAUGAAGCUUGUUUGAGGCUAUAUUUGAAGUUUCAGGUAUAGCCGCCAUUAGUUAUUCCUGACAGUGAACACAACACAUUCAUAUGUUAAUGGUGCUCCUCUUCCUCCUCAAACACUUGUAGUGACCCCGAGGAAGCCGCCUGACAGCCUGUUUACCGUUUUACUUUUUAAACCUUUUUACCAUAUUUCUUAGACAUGUUUCCUCUUCGUAUUGCACAAUAAUUGGCAACCUGUUCCAAAUUUGCACGACGUGUCUACGGGACCCCUCAGAGAAACAGACAGGUUUGGUUCUUAAAAUUAUUAUUUUAAUUUAUAACUCCUCACAUUAGAGACAGUUUCUGUGAAAUGCAGAACAUGUAUUGAUAAGAAAUAAAGGAAAUGUAUAGUGCCAAAACUGCCUUCACACUGUUUCUCAAACAAAAUGCAAAAACUAAAGUCUUAUGUUGUGUAUAAUGAUUAAUAACUUGAAUAAUGCUCUUGCCUUUUAUUUAACCUUUUCUGUAACCUCUGUUUAAAAAAAAAAAACAUUUUGCGUUUCUCCUCAAAAGGCCUGACAAUGUUUUACUUAUACUAUCAUUUACAUCACCCGUGUCCAGCAUGUUGUCUUUGCAGGGAUCUUUUUGUUCUUUUUUUCAACUGCAUUACUAUCGUUAUCCAUCAGUACGUGUUUUGCUUUUUCCGGAUGCAUCUUCUCCUUCAGUGAGCGUCGCUCCGUGCCACGAUAUCAGAAUUAUAUGAUUAACUUCCUCUCAGAGCCGGCAGCUGCUGGUGUAUCUGGCCAGUCAGUGGAGGUGAAUGGGGUGAAACCACGAGAGAAAAGGAUUGCCCACAUGAACCCUUGCGCUCUGCAUCCACGUGCACAUUGCCGGUUGGAUUAUCCCUGCACAUUCCAGCCAGUACGGAAUCGCGUAAAUGUGCAUUUUCUUCCAAGCAAUUCUCCCACCACACCAUUAGUUUGUCAGCAUUUCGACGCUCUCUUCGGGCAGGGAUUAAAGCGGGGGAUUAGACAAUGCAUUUGCUCGCUGUGACUUUAACUUUGUUUUACCUCAAGUUAGUGUGAAAAGCUUUAUCAUGUGUUUCUCCGGAGCCCUGUUUUAGUUUUUCAGUAAGACUCACGGAUGCUAUCCAGCCCACCAGGGAGAUGUGACUAGGUUAUUUUCCCCUGGCAUGUUCAGUAAUGACAGGAAUGACUAAUGAAGAGGUGCUGCAUCUCCUGGAAAGCUUUUUGCACUUCCACAGAGACAAACUGCUUCCAAUUUUCAGGCAUGGAGAGCGGCUCUUUCAUUCCCGUUCUCACAGAAUGCAAUUUGAGACAUUUGAGGUUAACGUUGCAGGAUUUCAUUCAGCCCACAAAAUCUGAUAAAAAACGUGGUUGUUGUGACGGAUGUCCUUCUCUCCCCUAGUACAUGAGUACCCUGCCGCCUCUAUCAGCAGUAUGAGGCCCAUUAAUAUGACAAAAGACUCCCAUCUGUACAAAAAAUGUGCGCUGCGUUACACAUCACUGUAGCGACACAAACAGAUUUAGCCCAUAUGCGAAGAUUUUUAGUUAUUUUUCAGUAUUGAUUUUGUAGGAUUGCUUCCUGUCUGCUUACAGGCGAUUCUAAACCUCCUUUCUAGAUCAAUCAUACGUGAGCUGUAAGCAGCUACAGGUGUUGCUCCGGGCCUGCGCGCGCUGCAGACGCCAUCUGCUUGGUUUCUCCUUAACCUCCCUGCAGUACAUUUAAUAUAAUAAGCCAGUGCCCUUUACAGUCACAGUGUAAUAUCCGUCCAUGUAGAACUCUGCAAAUGCAGAUUAACACAGAUGGCUGGAAGCUGUAAACAAAAAGUAUCUUCCUUUCGCGCUGAAUAAAAAAGGGAUGUUGUUAAAGAACCAUCUGUCUCAUUGGAUGCUGCUGAUGAUGACCAAGAAAUACAUGAUGGCAACCAAUCACCCAUCAGCAUUCCUCAAUAAAUACCCCAAUAUUGUCAACGAAAAGCGACAAAAUAAUAUAGUUUUUUCGUCAUGGUAGUUGUUAUGACGACAAGUGCUGCUACGUUUCUGCAAUGUACGUGUUGCUGACGAGCGGCCCACCAACAGCCAUAUGCUGGUUCAUCCAUCGUCCUACCUGCCUGUCUCCACAGCCUGGAGAGGGAAGCUGUUUGUCAUCAAACACGUUUUUUUGUUUUGCUGCCAGCUUAUUAUGAUCUUUUUCUCAGUCAGAUUUUCCUUUUGUGGAGAUUUUUUUCAUUUCCAUUAAAGCCAAGUCUGAAACAAGGGAGAGGGUUUCGAGUGGGAGAAUCGGGACCAUAUUAUGACAUAAAAUUGUUCAUUUUAACCCCUUUUUGGAAAGUGGAAUACUUUGAUUUCACAUGAGCCUUGUAAAUGGCUUCAUUAAACAAAUUCCCAGAAUUGUUCAGAGUAAACAAGGAGUAAAUCCUGCAUUUGGGAGGGUCUGUUUUUAACUGCCGUGUCCUGUGAGUACUUCAUUCACCAGACGCAACGCAUGUAAUGAAGAAACGUGUCCCCCGCUGCAGUGUCACAGCUCAUUGGUGAUAGUUUUUGGAAGAAUAUUGCCUGACAUAUUAUUUAAGAGGAGAUAUAAUUUUAUCCGCACAAAACACAAAGCGAUUUUCAUGUUCCUGUGAUGCAUUUCUAUUUCAUCUACGGCUGAAUACGACACAGUGACACAGUUAGAGAGUCAAAUAAGCCAUUGAGGACAAACUUGGUGAUAAAACAAUGAAGCUAAUUAAUUAAAAACCUCAUCCCUGGGCUGCAUGGUGUCAUCAUGUGGCUUACUCUGAUUCAUAUAAUCAAUUACUUUGAGCUAACACUUUUUCCAUAAAUGCUUAAUCACCAAUGCAGCGCUCAGGAACCAUGAGCCCGGGGGCCAUUUUUACUAUUAAGUGCUCAUAUUGUUGAGCAUCCACAAUGUGUAUUCCAACUGAGGGAUGUUGCUCCAGAGCAGAACAGCAGAGCAGAACAGCAGAGCGGCCCGGACACCAAAACAUGCGACAUGCAACAGUCGGUGCACUUUAAUGCAGGCCACAGUUUAGUGUGCGCUUCAUCGCUGUGACUAUGUGGCGAUUGGGUUACGAGAUGACACACAUGCUCUGGGGGCCCCACCACAGGCUGUUUUCUAGCGAGAGACGAAAGUAAUGGACUUUUAGUUCAGCUUUCUUUUGUAACACACUCAGGGAUUGGCACUCUGAGCCUGAGGGGUGUUUGGAAAACCGCGAUAGCCGAUGCUCACCAUUAGAAACAUUUAGCCGGUUUCCACAUGGGCUUCCAGGGAGAGCAGAACAGAACAAACGUCACGUCUAUGCAAAUCUUACAAGUGAUAUAUGCCGGACACUGAGUUGCGCAACAAUAUUACUGUGACAGAUCCUCUAUGAAUAUUUAAAGAAAAGCCAGCAGAAUGAGAAAAGGUAGUGAGGCUAUUUCUUCACCGAGUUGGAACAAGGAGGAUGUGGGUGGGUGGGUGGGGGGGGAAUGAGAUGCAGCGCCGUGAUUCACUGGUUUGCUGACCCAGUUUGGAGGAGCUUCAGCAUGUGUUUCAACAAUUCACCCUGACAACCGACAAUAUGACCAGCUCCAAACUGGUCGCACUGUGGAGCACGGCUGUCAGGGUUGAGAGUGUAAUAAUGUUCCGUGUCCCUGGGUUGUGAUCGAUGGAGCACGGCCAUGUUUCGGCACACGCACACACACACACACACAGACAGACUUGUGUGCUUUAGAGUCCAGUUUCCAGUCCGUAUCAACGGCGUCAGUCCAAUAGGAAUUAUUUUUACAGUCGUGCUGUUCUUGCUGGAGCAGCAACUCAGCAAAAGAGCAGACGGUUGCUGAUGGAGUAUCACCUGUUUGGCCACACUAGCCAUGAACCGUAUGCUACUUACAGUUGCAUACGGCUGUACGCUGAGCCACUUCCUCUCCCCGAGUCCAUAGCUGACACUUUAAAGGCUACACGGUCCGGCCAGCAAUGGGCACCGCGAGACUCAUUCCCAUGUGCUCAUUAAAUAGGCUGUGGUGGAACACAGUGACAAGUUGCAGGGCUAGCUCAGUCUGAAUAAACAAUAGGUUGCUGUAGCUUUUAUAUAUAUUGUAUAUAUCAAUUUAUUUACGGCACUGUCCAGUGCACAACAAAGCUGCAACCUGAAACCUUCAUUCAAUCAUGAAAAAAUAGUUGAGCCAAAAAUGCUCACAUUUACAUAUUCGAUUAUCCCAAACGUAGAAGAAUAAAUGCAAUAAAUAAUGUGUCUGACACACCGAACAAUGUCAAACAGUUUGGGUUUGACAGGUUGACAGGAAUGAGCGCUGUUUACUCUCUCCGCUACAAGGGCGUAUUGAACCAGGUAUCUUUAAUGGCCAAAAGCCUUUCAUCAGCAGACAAUCGGUUCCCUGUAAUGAGGCCUCGUGGUGACACAAACACAGGGACCGGAUUUCCUACCAGCAAGACGGUUGUCUUGUCUCUUGUAAGGUUAUCUGCUGUUACUAUGCAAGUGUGUUGGCUUCAGGGUCUUGCCACCAACUUUAGGGCGGGAUCUUUCCACAAAUAGCUAAGUUGAAUUUUUUUUCCAAAAUGCAAAACGUAUUUAUUUAUACUCACAAUUUUUUCAUGAUUGUGCACAAAUUCACUCCCUGGCUUAAUUCCCUCGCUUAACAUUUCGCCGCCAGGAUCAAAGCCCCUCCAAACAUGCAGCUGUUGUACAUCUCUGGAUUAAACUCCACCUGUCCACCCCCUUUGCCUUCACCUUGUCCCAUCAUGACCAAAUAUGAUAAUGUUCAUUGUGAAUUUAUUUUGCCGAAGAUGCGUUUGCAUUCAACGGGGCAUAAUCACCCGUGAUUACAGGCAGAGAGCAGUCAGGCCCGCUGGCGAGGGAACGGGACAUUUGCAUAAUGUCCCGGAGCAUGUAGCACAGGUGAAGAAGCCAGUCAUUUAAAAAUGGACGAAGCUUCGGAGUGCUGGAUUCCGUGCUCGCAGGAUACCUUGCAAGAAAAAUGGGUUGUUCCUUAUUAAGACUUUGCCUUCUCCUUUGCUGGUUGCCACAAUAAAUUAACCAUUUUCUGUCAUAAUAUAAAUAAUAAUUGUCUGCUGCCAAUUCUCCCACUCAAAACCCUCUGCCUUGUUUCAGACUUGGCUUUGGAGUUUAAGGGAAAAAAUAAAUGCUUUAAAAGAAGUAAAAAAAAAUCUCCACUAAGGAAAAACUGAUUUUGAUACAUUAUAAGUUGGCUAUAAAAGAAAAACGGGUUCGAUGACAAGUGCGUGGAGGGCCGUCACGAUUAGCUGCAGUGCCAGUUACAAUGCUAGAGGCAGAAGGCCAAGUGUUUUUAUUUUAUUAGAACACAUUUAACAUACUUCAAGUGGUUUACAUAAUCAGAAAAGAGGACACCGGUUAGCAGGAACAGCAUAGAAUUAAUGCUUGAAUAGAAAAUGGAACUUUGAAAACCUUGAAGAGUAAGAGGAGCCCUUUAGACUAAACACGUUAUAAACAAAUACCUCGGACAAAUGGAGCAGAGGAGAGGUAUUUGCAUUGACUUGUUUCAGGGGGAAUGUUGUUGUUUUCAGUAUAACGUUGUGUAUUAAAACCGUCAGCUGAUGGAAAAAUUUGAAAACAGAAAAAUGCAUGGAAUCUUUUUAAAGCUUGUUAGAAGUCUGGCAGAGAAUGACCUUUCAUAACCUGGAGGAGUUGGAGUAGUAAGUUGGCUGAUGGGAUGAAAGUGUGGAUAAGAGUCUUAAUGUCUGUAAAAAAAAGAAACUGCUGCACAUCCACGGCUAAGCCAUUGAGAGGAGAAGGUCUGUUCUACACUGCAGAAAUACAUUUUUUCAAUACAUUUUUUUCAGGGAGUUAUUAUUAGAAAAUAAAGAUGAACAUUGGGAGCUAGAACAGCCAUAGUGAAUUAUUGGAAAAACUGCUUUUCUUUAACCUUUCAAAAAUGUAAAAUAAAAGCAGUAAAGACAAUAUGUGCAGUUUGAAAGACAACGUUCUGAAGUUUGACAAUGAAGAGGAUUAUAAUAUACAGCCAUGAUAGCAGCGAUAUGAGAAGUGAAAAUACAUUGGAUACAUUGACUGACGUGAGCGAUAAUGUAGAUGUAAAUAUAGUUCACUGGCACCAUUUGGGCACCAUACAUAUCUCUAAUUUCAUCACUCAACUCAAUAGCUGUUGAAAUAAUUCUCUGGCAAAACAGUCAACUUAGUUUUGGCACGGCAUGUGCUUCUUCCCCCUGGGGACAAUGUACAGCAUUUAUUAGUAAUCCAUCCGAUAGUUCCUUCAACUGUCUGAACCGACCGGGGACAACCGGCGCUCCCCAGCACAGUGCCACUAGCAGGGCUUAAACGUGGCUUAAAUGGGAUAUUGGCAUCUGUCAUGUGGUCUCUUCUCAAAAUCGACAGGGCAUGAAGCCCCAUGGAAAUAAGGAGGCCUUAUUUUUGUAACGCUACCAUCUGUGUGCAACAAAAAUUCAUUGUUUGCUGAUUUAGACACCAUGAAUGGGGGAGAAAUAAGAGUUAUACUGGGUUUGUAGCAAUGAGAGCGCCGUGUUAGCCAAAGAAAGCACGUGAAUCGAUGGGGAGGAAGAACUUCUGCUUUAAUAGAACAGCACUAUGAUUGAUGGUUUGAUAUCUCAACUGAAUAAAAAAAAAAAAACAACAGCACCGGCAUCACGGGGAUAUUAGUAUCCAAUCUCUGCUUCUGUUCUUCAGCCCUGCGGCUCUAACAACUUUCACAAUUCGUGAGUGCAAUAAAGAAACCAUAGAUUCCAGGUAAUUUGCUCCACAAUGAGGUGAGACCCGGUGAGCGCUGGCGGAAGCCUGGCAACAGCAGUUAACCUGUUCAUCGGUCAAAACAAACAAGCCUCAGCGACAACCUUUAUCAGCCCUGCAUUUCAUAACCUCGCCGGCGAGUGGCUGACAGGGAGGCCGCGUUGAAUGCUGGGAGAUGCGGCAGCCUGAGCUGCAAUCACUCUGAUCUACAGCAAUCUAUUGAUCCGCCGCGCUUGUCCAAUCAAUGCAGGGGAAGAGAAAAGGGGGAAACAAGAUUAGGGGAGAAAAUAGCCUAUUUACGAAGGGUGAAGAAGGGGCUGCACACACGUUUUGAUAAGAGGGGUCGCGUGUGGGGAUUUCGCACGCACGCGUAACAAUAGAUGAACGGAGACACACUUUUUUUUCCUUCCACGGAUCACUAGAAUAGCUCUGUAUUGUUUCCUUAGGAGUGCCAGGAAUAUAAUGAGAAAACAAGCAGACAAGGGAAAAAAAAUGUGUAAUAUGAUUAUAUUGUAAUUCAGCUUCUUCAACAGCAGCGUGAAGUUGUGUAGCUCGGGGACGUUUGUACACACUUUGUACUGAAACAUUAAGCAAAGGAGCGAAUUCAGUUGCAGUUAUCCAUGAUCGUAAAUAAACCUUUCACUUUGAGAUUUUAGGUGCCAAUUGUUAAUGGCUAAACUCAUAAGUUUGGGAACUUAUCCUCUGGCAGUUUAGGACACUUAUCAUGUAAAAAUGAGCAGUUCAAACCUCUCUUACUGAUUCACUUCCUGUUUUUCAACAUGGCAGAGGGUUUUUGCACUUGUUCCCCCUGUGUUUUAGAUGGUCAUGUUGCUUGGUAGUGCAAAUAACAAGUCGAAAAAGAGCACCGUUGCAAAACAGUGCAACAACCUUAAAGGCCUGAAUAAUUGACGCUGAUACAUAAUUAACAUGCUCAGAAUCAAAACAAGGAAUCGUCUCCACGGUCACACCGAUGCUGUUGACCCGUAAAGCUCAGGGUCUGGAACCGCAAGGCAACGCACCGCUGUUGUCUGUUGUCAGGUCUACCUUUCCAGUAUUCGUCUCUCUCUCUCUCUCUCCCCCUCUUAAAGAGAGCGUCUCUCUGUCUGAGUCAAACAAAGGGGCCUCAGGGUGCUGACACUGAGGGGGGGGGGUUCAGGGCUGAUGGGAAAGUUCCUUUCAAAAUGAAUCGAAUGAAAAUAAUGAAUGAACACACAGACGACAAACAACUUUCUGAAAGGUAGUUACUUGAGUCCUUGGUUGUCAAAAUGACAGGUUGGUUGUAUUUCCAUAUCUUUUUCGAUAGAUGUGUCUUUCUGUGAGCAUUUGUAAGGCACUCAUGUGCACUUAAUUGAACCCUUUGCGUCCCGCUAUCACGACUGUAAAAUAGACACACAAGAAUGUUCCGUUUUGUCACGGCCCAACAAUUAGUCAUUUUGUCCAUAACUCAGUGUUUAAACUCUCUAAAAGCUUUACGUUUUACAUUUUUACCCUCUCAGGCAAAACAAUACUGAGCCAGAAAAUGUCCUCCAUUAAAAGUUUAAAUUAUUACAUAUGACUCUGCAGCAAUUAGCUUCCAUUCCGUGGUGAAGGCCUCCCUAUUUCACACUGUCCGGGACGCAGGAGAUGCAAAGCAGUCCGUCGCAUGAGGAUUUAAUUACGCCGCUAAGAAUUUCCCUCCAUCUAAAUCACGCGGCUGACGCUUCUAAUGGGGUCCAAAUAAAGUCAGCUCAUUUAUGAAGCCGUUAAUGUGUUCAGCAGCACUCCAGUUGUAGACCAUGUGUUUGUGGCCAUUACGCCAUCCAAGACAAUGUGUCUCCAACUCAUUUUUCAACACGCUUCAGGGAAAACCCUCUUCACUGCAGCUCGCUGCAGUCUGAGCAAGUUUGGAAGAAAAAAAAUAUAUAUUGGCAGCGACUAUUUAUUUGGAGGAUAAGGCAUUAAAAGCAUUUGCAUAAUCUGAGCAGGGCGCUGCAGCUGGCCCGCGACAACAUUAAAUCGUACCAGCCUAAUUUUACUCUUAUCGUCUCUGUGCGGAAAGAGGAGCAGCAAAAAUGAACUGUUCAUCCCUUUUACAUUUAUUUAUUCUCUCUCUCUCUCUCCCGGCUGCUACUGUUCAUUUAGAGACCACGUCUUCUGGGAGAGAUAUCGCAUGUUGUUUUACGAGUGUGUUAAAAACCAGUGGCCAUGAAAAAAGCCAAUACUGUGGAAGCAACCUUUUAGAUAAGGUGAGACAAGGCCCUCAGGGGUGCUCGUGUUUUCAUAGAGGUGUUCUAACGGCAUAGAGACAUAAAACACGAUCUUACAGAUAUGAGACACUUAUUGAUGCAGAGGGGCUAAAAAAAGAGAAGGAUGUUGGAGACGACGAGACCGCAUAUUUGAGUCAUACAUUUGCUACUGAAAGCGGAGAGAAGUAGGCAGAAGAUUGUUUGCUCGUGUCAAAGAAGCACCAGUACAGAUCAGUGGCGCGAAACCCACCAUCACAACUUGAUGACAAGCCGCAACACAACCCGCGUGUCACGACCCACCAGCUGGGAACGACUGCUCUGGAUUUACGUGAAUUUGUAAAAGUUGUUAGCUUUAAAACAUCCAAGUAAAAUAUUUUACUGGAUUGCUAUAGAUUUUAUGAAUUAUAUGUUUGGUCAAGGUGGGGGGUAAUUGUAUCUACUUAUACUGCUGCUGGGUACAUUACCCAAUAACAAUCAGAAUUUCAUUGAUUUCGUUUGUACACAAAUCGAUGUUCCCGGCAGUGUGCGAAGUCAUAAAGCUGUGUCAGAUAAGAGUGGAAAGUGCAUUUGUGUGUGUCUGUUGCACACAUUGAUAUUGGGAAGCGGCAGGUAAUACAUUAACAAAGGAAACACAGCUGUCACAACAAAAAAUAAUGGGCGCAUCCCUGGGACAAAGCUGGUGUACCAAGGGCGAAAAACAACAACCGCAUUCCUCCACAUCCGGCAGACACGGAGAAACACGAGGAUCCUUACGGGAUGGAAAAUCUGCCUCUUGUGGCCAAUAGUGCGGAUGUAUUAUUGCACUCCAAUAAAAAACUGUCAGGCCGAAGACCGACAGAAUAAACAGGAUGAAAAUCAAUGAAACAGAACCAGCAAUGUCCUUGUUAAAACUUGGCGCCUUCACUACCCACAAUGCAGCCCGACUGCACCCCGGUGCUAUGCUACUAGUUAGCCUUAAGCUGAUACAACGUCAUACCGGUACAACCAGUUUAGGUUUAAAGCCUUGUUCCAAUUGUAAUGGGAUUAACUAAGAUAAUUAAGACCUUGAUUAAAGUAGAAUAUGUUUAAUAAUUUGGGGGAAUUUGAAGUUGACAACACCAAAGAAAACUUUUUAAAGAGUCCGUAGAGUCCAAAUGUCCGCUUGAAUGUACAAAAGGUUUAGGAAAUUUUAAAAACAAAUUAAAAGGACCUCCCUAUCGAGGCUGCACAAUGCAACCAAAAUAUCCCCAAAAAACAACCGUUCAAAUGUCCCCCUCUUCAACAUGCAAAAGUAACAGGAAAACCAAUGCUUUGCUAAAGACCCUUCAAACAAAGCAAACUCGCCGGAAGGGGGAAUGGUAAUCUGGCCUCGGCUUGAUUUCAAGUCCUCUGCUCAAUAGUUACAGUCCUCAAUCACACGCAUUUCCUUGUUCACUUCAGAUCAACAAAGCACAACCAUUAAAAGCAAAACGCUUUUUGUUCACCUGAAGGCUGCUGGGCUUUACCACUCUAACCUUCAACUCCGUGCCUCAUUCUCCUCAUCACGACCCCUUGCGACUGUGAUGCAGGAAAAAGCCGAUCACCUGACCAGUGUUGCCUCGGCGACAUCUUCUUCUUCUUUGGAGUGUUUCCAGCAGUUGGCGUUCUUAAUGCCCCACGCUGGUUCUAAUCAAGCCUCUGUUAGUACGUACUACGCAAUGGAUACAGUGCAUCAGAUGUUAGACUUUAAAAGGGAUUUAGGAAGAAUCCACCUUGUGUUUGUAUACAUUUGUGAGGCGAUUUUAAAAUUGAGAAUAGAAAACUUAUUCAAUUCUGAGUCUUGUUUCUGUUGUUGAAAGCCAAACAAAAGUCAAAAGACACCUUCGGUGUCAGUGGUUUGUAACAUGUAUAUAUAUAGUAUUACAUUACAUUACACAGGAACAGUAAAUGAUGGUGCAACAUUGGUUUUGUAGUGUUAUUGCCGCAUUGUCAAACGUUUCAGCGCAUUCAUCGAUGUGAGAAGCAAUGUCUCCUCUGCUCACUUAAAAAAAAUUCAAAAAACUGUCCAGCUGAAGAAGUAAUUUCAUCUCACAUCGUUGCCUCUCAUUGGAUUUUCUGAAAUACGAUAAACAGCUCUUGCGCAUCAAGAAAAGCUGGUGUCAACGUGUUAUUAUGUCUGACUUCUGUGUCACGGAAUUGAUGAUUAUGAAAAUGGGUUCAUGGGCCCAGUAUUUAAAAUAAAUAAAUGUGAGUUUUAACCCCAAAAAUAAGAUUCUACUUAGUAGUAGUUUUGGGACUUCUUCUUCUUCCCCCGCCCUCGACCUCCAUGCAGCUUCACGCUCCAUAGAGCCACAGCCCUGAGGGCCCAGCGCUCCAUCCUCAUCCGUCAUCCUGAAGGGGGGGGCGGGGCUAGAUUCACGUUUUCCUCAAGGCGGGAGGCGGCGUGAGGGAUGUCAGACAAUGCAGAUGGAUGGGCGGGGUUACAACAGGGCCACCUGGGCCACGCACACAGCACACGCAGGGGCCGCGUUGGCUCCUCACCUCCAGCUUGGCCACUGCUAUUCCAUCCUCGGGUACCUGCAGCAGAGCCGUAGGGCUGCUCACAGAAUCCUCUGUCAGAGGGGAGGUUCUUCUCGACGGCGCUAUCGUAUGAAGGCAGCGGACACGGCGGCGACAGUGAGGGAGUCGUGCAGACGCCCACCGCUGGGAGGAUGACACAGACACUGACGCUGCUGUUGCGAUACCGUAACCAGGCAACAGGAAACCUCACACACUGACCGCUGACACCACAUAGUGAUAUAAAUAUGGGUUAACAUUCUCUCUCUCUCUCUCUCUCUCUCUCUCUCUUUCCUGUCUCUCUCCCUCUCGCUAGUUUUUCUGUCAAACCCCGGUGGACGUGACUCCAGUUCAGACACAAAAGCAGCUGAGCCGAGCGUCCGCUUCCUCCACCUACUCGUUCUCUGCAACACCAUCACACGCCUCCUCUUUCCUCUCGUAUUCCGUACGUCCCUCUCCUCCUUCUCUGUAGUGUACACCACAUCCUCCCUCCGGCUCCUUGAGCGUUUUGUUUUCUGCACCUCCUCAUUGCCCUACACCUCAUUUGGCCUCUGCAACACCCUUCUCCUUGCCUGCGCCCACCUCCUCGUAGCCCUCCUCCUCCUCCUCUACAGCGCCCGGCACCUCCUCGUCCAUCUUCAUAGUACUCACCUUCUCCUUCACGGCCCCCUCCGAGACUCCGCAGACAGGUGUGCAUUUCACACGCUGUUUGUUUCCCCCUGUUUUGUCAUUCUGCCGGGCUCCAGCGGUCACCAUUAAUAACCCCUGUUCGCUCUCGCUGCCUGUUCCCCUGCCUCCCGGCUGAUGUUCCUUCCAGCCCGUUGGCUGGGACGCCGGGCUCCGAGCCCCCCGGUGCACGGAGAUGAAGCCAGACACGCAGGUACCAAAAUCCGGACAGCAAUCUGUGCACAGCAAGGCAAACAGCAACGUGAGCUCCCAGAAUACUAAUAGUCCCACAGAAAGAACACUGUGAAUUACAAAGUAGGUGUAAGAAUGUAACAAUGAGAUAGUUUGUACCUCGUUGUUCUGUAAACAAGUAGUGAACCAGAUUCAUCGGUUUGUUUAGAAGUUGCAUUGCACUAUUCUCUGACAAUAUGUGCAA